CGGGCGGAGUCUAUAGCAACAUGCACUAUUCUUAUUUUUUUCGGCAGCAAUCAUCAACCUCUUUUUCCAAAUUUCAUAACACGAUUUGUUUUAAUUAUCAUGAACAUUUAAUUGAAACUUUAGCACAUGUAACGUCGGAAAUUAGCGUCUUUAGGAUUUUAGACGUUUUCAGACGUUUGGACAAAUUGGCUACCGUUUUGUAAUGUGUGGAAGCAUUUUAUUCCUUUAAGACCCAAAUAUGUAG
This 244-nucleotide long non-coding RNA is filed under the name Mytilus galloprovincialis (Mediterranean mussel). Lineage: Eukaryota; Metazoa; Mollusca; Bivalvia; Mytilida; Mytilidae. The record is from RNAcentral.